This is a long non-coding RNA of Zea mays, 364 nucleotides long. RefSeq lists it as uncharacterized. NCBI's taxonomy places the organism in Eukaryota, Viridiplantae, Streptophyta, Magnoliopsida, Poales, Poaceae. The transcript is spliced from 4 exons. The record is from RefSeq and is a predicted model, not a curated record.
CUGGAACCAACUAGGCACACGAGUUAACCAAUUAUCUAACAAUACCUUACUUGCAGAGUUGUUGCUUACUACACCCGAUAGGUCGCACGAAGUGGGAUUUUCUAUGGGAACUGCUAACCGACAAGGGUAUCAAACAAUUCUUUGUUGCUGUUAAGAAAGAGGAGUGAAAGUUUGAUACGCUUUGUGAUCUUUAGGGUGGAUUGGUUUGCUAAAAAAAUGUGCACCAAUAACUUCACGAUAUUAGCUAUGCAUAGUGACAUGCCCCAACAAGAAGGGAUGCAAUUAUGGGUGAGUUUUAAGUCUGGCGCAACUCAUGUGCUGAUAACUACGGAUGUUUGGGCUCGAGGAUUGGACGUUCACCAGG